Molecule: ribosomal RNA, 649 nt
Filed under: Mycobacteroides abscessus
Lineage: Bacteria; Bacillati; Actinomycetota; Actinomycetes; Mycobacteriales; Mycobacteriaceae
Description: bacterial LSU rRNA
Rfam family: Bacterial large subunit ribosomal RNA
Source: RNAcentral
AAACCGACACAGGUGGUCAGGUAGAGAAUACUAAGGCGUACGAGAUAACUAUGGUUAAGGAACUCGGCAAAAUACCCCCGUAACUUCGGGAGAAGGGGGACCUCGCUUGGUGACCGGACUUGCUCCGUGAGCUGAACGAGGUCGCAGAGACCAGUGAGAAGCGACUGUUUACUAAAAACACAGGUCCGUGCGAAGUCGCAAGACGAUGUAUACGGACUGACGCCUGCCCGGUGCUGGAAGGUUAAGAGGACCCGUUAACCCUUGGGUGAAGCGGAGAAUUUAAGCCCCAGUAAACGGCGGUGGUAACUAUAACCAUCCUAAGGUAGCGAAAUUCCUUGUCGGGUAAGUUCCGACCUGCACGAAUGGCGUAACGACUUCUCAACUGUCUCAACCAUAGACUCGGCGAAAUUGCACUACGAGUAAAGAUGCUCGUUACGCGCGGCAGGACGAGAAGACCCCGGGACCUUCACUAUAGCUUGGUAUUGGCGUUUGGUUCGGUUUGUGUAGGAUAGGUGGGAGACUGUGAAGCAGGCACGCCAGUGUUUGUGGAGUCAUCGUUGAAAUACCACUCUGAUCGUAUUGAACCUCUAACCUCGGACCGUAUAUCCGGUCCAGGGACAGUGCCUGGUGGGUAGUUUAACUGGGGCGG